RNAcentral lists this long non-coding RNA (289 nucleotides) under Pan troglodytes (chimpanzee). Its description in RNAcentral is "long non-coding RNA NONPTRT007732". Lineage: Eukaryota; Metazoa; Chordata; Mammalia; Primates; Hominidae. The record is from RNAcentral.
AAUCAUUUCUACUGUAUAACAAGUAUGAAUUUUUCACAAUCACUAUGAUGAGACUGUAGGGACUUUAUUUUAGGAUUACAGAAGAGCUCAUGAAUCUCUUAGAUACAUAAUUAGAAGGCUCCUGAUCUCUUGAAAUCGUCAGAUUUCUUCCAUUUUUAAUUUACAGAGAAACCGUUAUGUAGCCAAUAAGUCUAGAUAAAAUCUGAAAUAAAACCUAAGUAUCAAAAGGAAAACUGAAAGCCCUUUCCUUUAGCUCUAAUUGAAAGCAAAUAAAAUUUUGGUUAGUAGU